CUAAGAGAUUAGAGGUUCCCUUCGGGGACAGAAUGACAGGUGGUGCAUGGUUGUCGUCAGCUCGUGUCGUGAGAUGUUGGGUUAAGUCCCGCAACGAGCGCAACCCUUAUUACUAGUUGCCAGCAUUAAGUUGGGCACUCUAGUGAGACUGCCGGUGACAAACCGGAGGAAGGUGGGGACGACGUCAAAUCAUCAUGCCCCUUAUGACCUGGGCUACACACGUGCUACAAUGGAUGGUACAACGAGUCGCGAGACCGCGAGGUUAAGCUAAUCUCUUAAAACCAUUCUCAGUUCGGACUGUAGGCUGCAACUCGCCUACACGAAGUCGGAAUCGCUAGUAAUCGCGGAUCAGCAUGCCGCGGUGAAUACG
RNAcentral lists this ribosomal RNA (370 nucleotides) under Pediococcus sp. enrichment culture clone LAB11. Its description in RNAcentral is "bacterial SSU rRNA". It matches the Rfam family "Bacterial small subunit ribosomal RNA", at positions 999 to 1370 of the family's 1533-position model. Lineage: Bacteria; Bacillati; Bacillota; Bacilli; Lactobacillales; Lactobacillaceae. The record is from RNAcentral.